RNAcentral lists this ribosomal RNA (460 nucleotides) under uncultured bacterium. RNAcentral's name for it is "partial 16S ribosomal RNA". It matches the Rfam family "Bacterial small subunit ribosomal RNA", at positions 338 to 795 of the family's 1533-position model. The record is from RNAcentral.
CCUACGGGAGGCAGCAGUGAGGAAUAUUGGUCAAUGGACGAGAGUCUGAACCAGCCAAGUAGCGUGAAGGAUGACUGCCCUAUGGGUUGUAAACUUCUUUUAUAUGGGAAUAACAUGUUCCACGUGUGGGAUUUUGUAUGUACCAUAUGAAUAAGGCUCGGCUAACUCCGUGCCAGCAGCCUCGGUAAUACGGAGGAUCCGAGCGUUAUCCGGAUUUAUUGGGUUUAAAGGGAGCGUAGGUGGAUUGUUAAGUCAGUUGUGAAAGUUUGCGGCUCAACCGUAGAAUUGCAGUUGAAACUGGCAGUCUUGAGUACAGUAGAGGUGGGCGGAAUUCGUGGUGUAGCGGUGAAAUGCUUAGAUAUCACGAAGAACUCCGAUUGCGAAGGCAGUUCACUGGACUGCAACUGACACUGAGGCUCGAAAGUGUGGGUAUCAAACAGGAUUAGAUACCCUAGUAGUC